Bos taurus (domestic cattle) is the source of this 2365-nucleotide long non-coding RNA. The record is from Ensembl. NCBI's taxonomy places the organism in Eukaryota, Metazoa, Chordata, Mammalia, Artiodactyla, Bovidae.
GUUUGUACUUUGUUUUGCUCAGAACUCUUCCAAGAGUACUUGCCAUUUCAGAAAAUCUCUGAAAACAUGGUGCUUUUGAGUUGUCCACACAUAGGUAUUAACCCAUUGUCACAUUCACAGUGAUUUGAUGUACAGGUGCAAGAAUCCUACUAAUUCAUAUAGCCUGGGAAAUAAUUAUUUUAUUGAAGGCCUUCUACUGCUUCCUGGAAUUGGGGUAUUAUAUUAAUUUUUUAAAAUCAUGAGUGAAUGUUGUAUUAUCUACAGAUUUUUACUUCAAGAGAGUAAAAGGGCCAUUUGAAAACAUUUGUUAUAGCAAAGAUGCCUUUGUUUUAUAGAUUCAAGUACCUCCAUGGGGGAACUUCCCUGGUGGUCCAGAGAUGAAGACUUCACCUUCCAAUGCAGGAGGUGUGGGUUCGAUCCUUGGUAGGAAAUUUGGAUCUCACAUGGUUCAUGGCCAAAAGAACAAAACAUAAAACAGGCAAUAUUGUAAUAAACUCAAUAAAGAUUUUAAAAAUGGUCCGCAUAAAAAAUAAUCUUAAAAAAAAAAAAAAGAACUCUCCUGGGGCUCUUUAAGCCACUUUGGACUUGCUCCCUCUGCUCCCCCCACACCAGCCUCUUGCUCUUUCCCAAGCUCUCCGCAAACAGACUCCUGCUUCAGCCCUUUGCACUCUAUGCUCCCGUGACCUGAAACACUCUUUUCCCAGUGCUCUCCAUCCCUCCCUUACUUAAGUUUCAGCUCAGGCAUCAGAGAGAACUUCCUGACCCUUAUCUGCAAUGACACCCCCACUUCGUUCAUCAUCCACCUGUCCUGUAUCUGAUGGUUUACUCUAUUUGCUUCCAGCUCACUCAUGGCAGCAGGGACUUGGUAGUGUUCACCACUAUACCCAGCAUUGUGAUGGGGCUCAAUAUCCCCCUUGAAGAGAGGAAAGACAUUUGAAUUCCUCAAGCAAAGUAUUCAGGGGAUGCCACAAAAAAGCUUGAAGUUAUGAUACGCUGUAUCCCAGGAACAGUUUGACAGUUUCCUUACUGCUUAUAACCUGCAGUUCCCUACAGAGGCCUCCUCUCCACUGUAGUCUCUGCCAAGUGGUUGUCACAGCAUUAAUUAAACUGGAAGAAUAAAGGCAUUGCAUGUCAUUUUCUAUAUUGAAUGCCUUCAUGUUAUGGACGAAUCUCCAUGGAGAAAUCUGGUACAUAAACUAAAAACAAAUGCCUGCAUGUGGUAUCUGAGACUAUUACAGAAGAAAGAAAACAGGAAAGAAUAUAAGCCAUCUCUGUUGCUUAAAGUGGGGUAGCAGCUGAGUCAAAGCUGGGAUUAUCAGGGGGUGCCUUGGACCUCUGUGGAAACACUUAUCAGUGAGACAAAGACAAGUUUUCAACCGAAGAGUUGUACCUUUUUCAAGAAGUAGAAAAGGCCUUACAGGUCAGCAUCUACAGCCCCUGAAUAUGGAAACAACUGCUCAGUCAUCCACUUACCCUCUCACUGGCAAGUUUUGCAUAUAUGGACUGUCAGAGCAAGAAUCCCAUUGACCUUGUUCAUCUCUCUAUGCCACUGACAUAAGGGGAUCUUCCUGACCCACAGGAAUUGAACCACAUCUGCAUUGGAAAGCAGAUUCUUUACCACUGAGCCUCCUGGGAAGCCUUUACAAUUUUGACAGUGGUCCUUUUCUGUGAAGAGAUUUGAAGUGUGAGAAGGUUCUGAAGGGCCACCUGAUAAGGACAUGACAGUGUCCUCUAGGAUCUGAAAACAGAAACAGAGAUGUCAGUUAUACAGUCCAAGGAAAUGAAUUCUGCCAUCAACUCAAGGAGCAGCAGAUCUUUCUCCAGAUAACCAGUUGCCUGGUUAUAGCCAUGUGAGACCCUGAGUGGAGGACCCAGCUGAAAUAUGCUCUGAGAUAAUAAAUCUGUGUUGCUUUAAGCUCCUAAUUUGUGACAAUUUGUUGCACAGAAAUAAAAAACAAAACCAAAAAACUAAUACAGCAGUUGUUCAAUUUUGAAGGGAACUAGAUGAAAUAUAAAGAAGCCAGGUUUUUUUAGGUUUGAACAUAAAAGGUACCCUUUCUCAAUCUGAUAAGAUGGCAAACCAUUCUCAAAUUAAGACAUGGCUUCCAGGCAAAAAUCAAAUCUAGGCGGGGCCUGUAGAAUUCUUUUAUAAAGCUUCAGAAUGAUGUAAGAUGGCACCUCAGAGACAGACUCAAAUACGAAAAAGUUUUUCUAAAGAUCUUAAAGCAUGCCUUACAGAUUCUUGUUAUGUAAUGGAGCAUUUUAGAAUCUUAAGGGAUUAUCACAUAGCAGCUUCAUUAGGACCCCAACUUAGAAGAGAGCUUAUCUUAAAGAGACUGAGAUUGUGGCUUUCUUAAGAGGACUG